GGAGGGAUACCCAAGUGGCUGAAGGGGCGGGUUUGCUAAACCUGUAGGGUGGCUUUGCUGCCGCGAGAGUUCGAAUCUCUCUCUCUCCG
RNAcentral lists this transfer RNA (89 nucleotides) under bacterium. RNAcentral describes it as "tRNA-Ser". It matches the Rfam family "tRNA". From Rfam's summary of the family: Transfer RNA (tRNA) molecules are approximately 80 nucleotides in length. Their secondary structure includes four short double-helical elements and three loops (D, anti-codon, and T loops). RNAcentral also lists the same sequence under 3 other names. The record is from RNAcentral.